UGCCCCAUGGCUGAGUUGGUUACAGCGUCCGACUGUUAAUAAGCGCAAUCGGAAGGUCGUGAGUUCGAGCCUCACUGGGGCAG
Molecule: transfer RNA, 83 nt
Filed under: Cylindrobasidium torrendii FP15055 ss-10
Lineage: Eukaryota; Fungi; Basidiomycota; Agaricomycetes; Agaricales; Physalacriaceae
Rfam family: tRNA
About the family: Transfer RNA (tRNA) molecules are approximately 80 nucleotides in length. Their secondary structure includes four short double-helical elements and three loops (D, anti-codon, and T loops). Further hydrogen bonds mediate the characteristic L-shaped molecular structure. tRNAs have two regions of fundamental functional importance: the anti-codon, which is responsible for specific mRNA codon recognition, and the 3' end, to which the tRNAs corresponding amino acid is attached (by aminoacyl-tRNA synthetases). tRNAs cope with the degeneracy of the genetic code in two manners: having more than one tRNA (with a specific anti-codon) for a particular amino acid; and 'wobble' base-pairing, i.e. permitting non-standard base-pairing at the 3rd anti-codon position.
Source: Rfam by way of RNAcentral